GGGUGGGGGAACUGGCUGGUUUAGAUCAGGAGGCUCAUGGUAACAGUUGCUAUGGGGCCUGGUUAAUUCCAGAAAUUUUUGUCUUGUGACCUUGCUCUAAGGCUCCACACCUGUGACCUUGGUCUAAGCCUUCACACCUGUGACCUUGGUGUAAGUUUCCAUGCCUGUGACCUUGGUCUAAGGCUUCACACCUGUGACCUUGGGCUAAGGCUCCACACCUGUGACCUUGGGCUAAGCCUUCACACCUGUGACCUUGGUCUAAGGCUCCACACCUGUGAUCUUGGUACAGGGCUCCACAUGCUGGAUAUGAGGCGGGGGGGAGGGGGAGGGGUUCCAGGAGAAGUCAAGUCAGCCCUUCCCUGGACCAGUGAUCAAGAAAACACCAAGCAGGUGGCAGGCCCUGUGGCCCAGGAUCGACCUGGCUGCUGACCUUGCCAGUCACCCUCGCCAGCCUGGGGAGGCUCCCGCAGCCCCAGGGACUGGCAGGCCGCCCCAGCAUCCACUGUCUCAUCCCCAGGGCUGUGAAAGAAAGACACAGCACAACAGAUGCCUGGAAGUGACGUGCCCGCUCCAGAUGCUUGUGGGAGGCAAGACUGAAAGCCCCAGCGUGGCUAGUGGUCAGGGCCACCGCACUGCCAAGCAGGUCUUGGGAGCUGAAGACUGAAGAACGUGAGGAGAGAGGCUGUGUCCUUCACUUCAUGGAUCUGCGGGGCAACGCUGUACUACUGCGCUGAACACAGAAGGGUCUCAGAACUCCGAAUACCACGAGGGGCUUGAAUGUUUCAACUCAAAACAUUCCCCAAACCGCAGCCCUCGGGGAGAAGCCUAAUAGCGCCAAACCGCUGCUCAGACCCUGCAUAGUCGGAGGAACAGCUCCCAGGAACACACGAGAGGUGGCGCUGCAGAGAGGCUGGCUGGGGCACCAGCCCACCCGGGGAAAGACUGGAUCCUUGGAGUUGAGGCUCCCAAGGCCCCUAUGGACAUCCAGUGGGUAAAAGAGAUCCCAGAAGGCCUAAUGGACCCAUGCAGUGGGCUGCGCAAUCUCCCAGGC
Long non-coding RNA from Bos taurus (domestic cattle), 1051 nucleotides. Lineage: Eukaryota; Metazoa; Chordata; Mammalia; Artiodactyla; Bovidae. The record is from Ensembl.